UCUUAUGUACAUGCCAACAACGUUAAUGCACCAGAUCCCAUUAGAACUUUGUAUUUAAGCACACUUGGGCUAUAGUAGUACUUGGAUGGGUGACCAUCUAGAAAGUCCUAGUGUUUUACAUGCC
Non-coding RNA from Picea glauca (white spruce), 124 nucleotides. The record is from Rfam. Lineage: Eukaryota; Viridiplantae; Streptophyta; Pinopsida; Pinales; Pinaceae.